AAUCUCAUCUUAUGAUUUUGUUCUUUCAAGGUGAGAUAUGUUCAUAAUGAUAGUUCCAUAAUGAUAGUUCCAUAAUGAUAAUCGGAGGUUUACCGACCUUAUGUCACUCCGAUAGAUUUAUAGCUUUUAUUUGGGCUCUCAUGCAUGCUUUAUAUAUAUGUAUGUAUUUUGUCACACCGCGCUGCACUAUAGUCGGUCGGGCAAACACGUAGAUGUGAACACCACUGGAGUGCGCAAUUUAUGAUAUUACCCUGGACGUGGGAUGAUGAUGAUAUGAUGAUAACAUCAAGCCUUAAUGGCCGGGCAGGAUACUAUAUAUAUAACACCUUGCCUUAAUGGCGGGGCAGGAUAUUAUAUAUGUAACACCGAGCCUCAAUGGCCGAGAAGGAUCCUAUAUAUAUAACACAGAGCCUAAAUGGCCGAGCAGAAUACUAUAUAUAUGUAUGUAUGAAAAAGGUUUUUUAAAAGUUAAGCAUGCAUGGCAUUCGCCUUAAAAAGGCAUUUAGAGGCAUAGGUUAAUCUCUUUUAUAUUAUGUUAUCUUCAUACUUUUAUUAUGUUGUUACUCAUGCCUUACAUACUCAGUACAUUAUUCGUACUGACGUCCUUUUUAUUGCGGAUGCUGCGUUCAUGCCCGCAGGUAGACAGAGAGACGGACCAGACCCCUAGAUUGCUUCAUCAGCGGUAUUACAGGAGCGCUCCAUUUGUUCUGGAGCUACAGUUCAGUUGAUGAAGGGGGCUUAGGAGUAAGAUCACUACAAGAAAUUGCACGAACCUUCUCAGCAAAACUCUGGUGGACCUUCAGGACAUCAGAUUUUCUAUGGACAAGAUUCAUGAGAGCCAAGUACUCCAUAAGAAUUCAUACAAUGACAAGGAAAUGAAGCUACACUCAUUCUCAUACUCGGAGAAGGCUCAUGAAAUCAGAGACAAAGUGGAUCACCUGAUUCACUGAAAAAUCAGCAGGGGUAAUUCUAACAUAUCGUGGGACAACUGGAUGAGUUCUGGCGAAUUGGCUCAACCUAUAGGCACCAACACAUUAAUCAACAGUCCCAUCCACAUUUACAUUCAAAAUAAAGAAUGGAAUAUUGACAAGCUGAGGAAGAUCCUUUCUAUGAGUGUAGUGAACAGGAUUCAAGAAGUGAAAAUCCAUUGCCAGGACACCAAUAACUCUCCUAUUUAGAGUGCCACCACUGAUAGCAACUUCAGCUGCAAAUCAGCUUGGAAAGUUAUCAGAGAGUAUCACCAUACUUCUCUUACCAACAAGAAAGAAUGGCAUUCAGGAAACAUAAGAACACUUGUUCAACAACAAGAUGAUUGGCAAGGAUGUAUGGAAGCACUUUACGCAGAUAUUUGGCAUCAAAGAAGGAACUGAAAAUAUCAGACAAAUACUUCUUUCAUGGUGGCUAACAAAGGAGAAAAAUCACAUUCAAAGCAUGAUACUACAAGUGAUACCGUGUAUUCUCAUCUAGCAGAUAUGAAAAGAAAGAUGCAAAAGCAGAUAUGAAACAUGUCAAGAUAUAGAGUCAUCAACAACACUUACAAGAAGACAAUCAUGAUUACACAUAAGCAAUUCAAGACCAUUCCACCUUUUAUGGAAUGGAGCAAGUUUCUGGAGAUCAGUGAACAUGCACAACCCUUGAUCAGCACUGUUGAUGUAAGGUGGAUUUUUCCUGCACCUGGCACAUGGAAAAUGAACUCUGAUAGUUGCUCCAAAUAAAAUCCAGGUCCAAGUGGGGCUGGUGGUUUAAUUAGAGACCAAAGAGAUGAUUUAAUCACAACUUAUGCUUUUUAUUUGGGAAACAUUACGAACAAUAUGGCACAAGCCUUAUCACUGAAAAUGGGAAUUGAGUGGUGUAUGACUAAUGAUGUAAACAGCUUGGAGAUUGAAAGUGA
Lycium barbarum (goji berry) is the source of this 1891-nucleotide long non-coding RNA. RefSeq lists it as uncharacterized. The record is from RefSeq and is a predicted model, not a curated record. The transcript has 3 exons. NCBI's taxonomy places the organism in Eukaryota, Viridiplantae, Streptophyta, Magnoliopsida, Solanales, Solanaceae.